AUUCCUAAUACGUUUAAGAAAGCAGAGUGGUUAGGGACUUAGGGCCAAAGAGAUUAUUGAUUUGAGGGUAUUUGGAGAGGUAGCAUAACAAACUUAAUGUGGUACUUAAGUUAUGAGACUCUCCCACCUAACUUAGACAGUGAGACGAUGGGGGAUAAGCUUCAUUGUCAAGAGGGAAACAGCCUAGAUCGCCAGCUAAGGCCCCUAAAUGACCGCUCAUUGAUAUAGGAGGCAGGAGUACAGAGACAACUAGGAGUUUGCCUAGAAGCAACCACCCUCGAAAGAGUGCGUAAUAGCUCACUGAUCGAGCGCUCUUGUGCUGAAGAUGAACGGGGCUAAGCGAUCUACCGAAGCUGUGGGAUGUAAAAAUUUAUCGGUAGGGGAGCAUUCCAGCUUAGAGGGAAGGACCCGCGCGAGUAGUGGUGGACAAAGCGGAAGCG
Molecule: ribosomal RNA, 440 nt
Organism: Lupinus angustifolius (narrow-leaved blue lupine)
Lineage: Eukaryota; Viridiplantae; Streptophyta; Magnoliopsida; Fabales; Fabaceae
Rfam family: Bacterial large subunit ribosomal RNA
Source: Rfam